CCCAAGUUCAGAAGUUUAAUACAUUUCAAGAUAGUAAGUUUCAAAAUACCGACAACAAAAGAUUACUAGAACAUUCAUUUAUAGCAAUUCAAAAUUUAUCUUAAGUAAGGUCUAUAUCUUCAUUGCCUUCAUCUUCUAUUUCUUGAUCUACUCCACCUACAAAAGAGGACAAAUAAAGUCAUUACCUUUCAUCUUGAAUGCUUAGACUAAAUAAAUUGAUCGAACAAGAAAAAGAAAAUAAUGGACAUACAAGAUGCUAGUCAUGAGCCUAAUUCUUCUAUAAAAACACAUUAUCAAGACCCAAAUUUGGAAUAC
RNAcentral lists this long non-coding RNA (315 nucleotides) under Nicotiana benthamiana. RNAcentral's name for it is "long non-coding RNA (NBEN_LNC041707)". Lineage: Eukaryota; Viridiplantae; Streptophyta; Magnoliopsida; Solanales; Solanaceae. The record is from RNAcentral.